GCGCCCGUAGCUCAUUUGGAUAGAGCAUCUGCCUUCUAAGCAGAAUGUGGCAGGUUCGAUCCCUGCCGGGCGCG
This 74-nucleotide transfer RNA is filed under the name Candidatus Omnitrophota bacterium. Its description in RNAcentral is "Candidatus Omnitrophica bacterium tRNA-Arg". It matches the Rfam family "tRNA". From Rfam's summary of the family: Transfer RNA (tRNA) molecules are approximately 80 nucleotides in length. Their secondary structure includes four short double-helical elements and three loops (D, anti-codon, and T loops). The record is from RNAcentral. Lineage: Bacteria; Pseudomonadati; Candidatus Omnitrophota.